GACUCUCGGCAAUGGAUAUCUCGGCUCUUGCAUCGAUGAAGAACGUAGCGAAAUGCGAUACUUGGUGUGAAUUGCAGAAUCCCGUGAACCAUCGAGUCUUUGAACGCAAGUUGCGCCCGAAGCCAUUAGGCCGAGGGCAUGCCUGCCUGGGUGUCACAC
This 159-nucleotide ribosomal RNA is filed under the name Grona heterocarpos. Its description in RNAcentral is "Desmodium heterocarpon 5.8S ribosomal RNA". It matches the Rfam family "5.8S ribosomal RNA". From Rfam's summary of the family: 5.8S ribosomal RNA (5.8S rRNA) is a component of the large subunit of the eukaryotic ribosome. The record is from RNAcentral. Lineage: Eukaryota; Viridiplantae; Streptophyta; Magnoliopsida; Fabales; Fabaceae.